UAGCUCUUUAACAAUUUGGAAAGCUGACAAAACAACAAUUUAUUGUCGUUUGUAAAGUUCUCAAUGUAUUCCUGAAUGGAAUACACCAACAAACACAUUCAAGUGUGCUUGGUAUCGAAGCUUACUGAUUCAGUAAGUCUUCAAAUUGAGUCCGGCAAAAUCAGUCACACACUCAUGAAAAAUAAAUGUGUGACACCUAGGUUGUUUAACAGCAACCCAAAACUCCUUCGGGUUGUAUG
RNAcentral lists this unclassified non-coding RNA (239 nucleotides) under Vibrio fluvialis. RNAcentral describes it as "partial miscellaneous RNA". The record is from RNAcentral. Lineage: Bacteria; Pseudomonadati; Pseudomonadota; Gammaproteobacteria; Vibrionales; Vibrionaceae.